CUACAUGGCGAGUAAACUGUCGGUGAAAUAGUCGAUAGUAAUUGAGAAAUUGCACUAUGUAUACAUAGAAGAUUACAAAAUUAAGUAUCAGAAAAAAUUAAUGUUGGACCUUCUCUCUAUCAUAAAAAUACCCUUAUACCCUAUUUGCUCUUGACGUUAAAUAUUUUGUUACCUUUUAAUAAUAAUGUUAUCAUCUUCCCAUAAUUAUACAAUCUUUGAAAUCAAAUCAUUGGUUCAAUAGCUGGUAAUUUGUUUAUAUCGUAAAUAAGUAUGAUAAUAUAUAAGUUAUCGGUAAAACAAUAAAUUAUCGGAGUAAAUAAAAAGGUUACUUUAUAAGUUAGCUGAUAACAGUUUUUUAACACGAUAGAUUUAAAUAUACAUUGUAUAAAUUACACGUUAAUAUAUAUAUUAUCCAUUUAUCAAAUAUUUUACCAU
RNAcentral lists this small RNA (435 nucleotides) under Arabidopsis thaliana (thale cress). RNAcentral describes it as "ATSL217130". The record is from RNAcentral. Lineage: Eukaryota; Viridiplantae; Streptophyta; Magnoliopsida; Brassicales; Brassicaceae.